CCUACGGGAGGCAGCAGUGGGGGAUAUUGGACAAUGGGGGAAACCCUGAUCCAGCGAUGCCGCGUGAGGGAAGAAGGUUUUCGGAUUGUAAACCUCUGUGGAGGGGGACGAUAAUGACGGUACCCCUUUAGGAAGCCACGGCUAACUACGUGCCAGCAGCCGCGGUAAUACGUAGGUGGCGAGCGUUGUCCGGAUUUACUGGGUGUAAAGGGAGCGUAGACGGUGCAGCAAGUCUGAUGUGAAAGGUCGGGGCCCAACCCCGGGACUGCAUUGGAAACUGUUGAACUGGAGUACAGGAGAGGUAAGCGGAAUUCCUAGUGUAGCGGUGAAAUGCGUAGAUAUUAGGAGGAACACCAGUGGCGAAGGCGGCUUACUGGACUGUAACUGACGUUGAGGCUCGAAAGCGUGGGGAGCAAACAGGAUUAGAUACCCUUGUAGUC
This 440-nucleotide ribosomal RNA is filed under the name uncultured bacterium. Its description in RNAcentral is "partial 16S ribosomal RNA". It matches the Rfam family "Bacterial small subunit ribosomal RNA", at positions 338 to 795 of the family's 1533-position model. The record is from RNAcentral.